GAUGAAGGCUGGCGGCGUGCCUAAUACAUGCAAGUCGAGCGAACAGACGAGGAGCUUGCUCCUCUGACGUUAGCGGCGGACGGGUGAGUAACACGUGGAUAACCUACCUAUAAGACUGGGAUAACUUCGGGAAACCGGAGCUAAUACCGGAUAAUAUAUUGAACCGCAUGGUUCAAUAGUGAAAGACGGUUUUGCUGUCACUUAUAGAUGGAUCCGCGCCGCAUUAGCUAGUUGGUAAGGUAACGGCUUACCAAGGCAACGAUGCGUAGCCGACCUGAGAGGGUGAUCGGCCACACUGGAACUGAGACACGGUCCAGACUCCUACGGGAGGCAGCAGUAGGGAAUCUUCCGCAAUGGGUGAAAGCCUGACGGAGCAACGCCGCGUGAGUGAUGAAGGUCUUCGGAUCGUAAAACUCUGUUAUUAGGGAAGAACAAAUGUGUAAGUAACUAUGCACGUCUUGACGGUACCUAAUCAGAAAGCCACGGCUAACUACGUG
This 497-nucleotide ribosomal RNA is filed under the name uncultured bacterium. RNAcentral's name for it is "partial 16S ribosomal RNA". It matches the Rfam family "Bacterial small subunit ribosomal RNA", at positions 28 to 507 of the family's 1533-position model. The record is from RNAcentral.